GACGAACGCUGGCGGCGUGCUUAACACAUGCAAGUCGAACGGAAAGGCCCUGCUUUUGUGGGGUGCUCGAGUGGCGAACGGGUGAGUAACACGUGAGUAACCUGCCCUUGACUUUGGGAUAACUUCAGGAAACUGGGGCUAAUACCGGAUAGGAGCUCCUGCUGCAUGGUGGGGGUUGGAAAGUUUCGGCGGUUGGGGAUGGACUCGCGGCUUAUCAGCUUGUUGGUGGGGUAGUGGCUUACCAAGGCUUUGACGGGUAGCCGGCCUGAGAGGGUGACCGGCCGCGGUGGCGGAGGGGGGCGGCGCCGCGGCGGGGGGGAGGGGGCAGGGGGGAGUAGGGUGAGGUGGGGGGGAGACUGCAGCAGCGGGGGGGGGGGGGGGGGGAGGGCGUGGGGGUGGGAAGCCGGGUUCGCGUGUGGGGAGGGGGGAGGGAGGGGAGGGGGUGAAGCAGAACCGGUUAACUAGGUGCCGGAGGCGGGGUUAAUAAGCGGAACAGAAACCGUCUGAAC
RNAcentral lists this ribosomal RNA (509 nucleotides) under uncultured bacterium. RNAcentral describes it as "partial 16S ribosomal RNA". The stretch from base 20 to 332 matches the Rfam family "Bacterial small subunit ribosomal RNA", at positions 47 to 358 of the family's 1533-position model. The record is from RNAcentral.